This is a long non-coding RNA of Pan paniscus (pygmy chimpanzee), 939 nucleotides long. NCBI's taxonomy places the organism in Eukaryota, Metazoa, Chordata, Mammalia, Primates, Hominidae. The record is from Ensembl.
UGCUAGGACUGGACAGAAGAGAAGGUUGAGCAGGCUGACAGAUGAAGACAACCUCAUGCCUAGAAGAAUUGCAAGGGCAGACUUGAAUCUCAUGCUUCGGUCUCCUGAGCAACUCUGAAGGGCAAGUGUCUUCCGCACGAGCUAUGUCGACUGAGGAAACCCCAGUGGAGUUUCCAGGGUCCACCAUGGCACCUGCUUCUUCCUCCAAUAGAAGACAACUGAUUGUUUCUGGUCCCUUGGUCCCAUACCUUGUUGUGCUCUGGUGGGGAAUAGAUACCUAUUCCUGGAGUUUGGCAACAUUUCAUGGUAGAGAGAAAAACAUCCCAAGGAUCUGUACAUAAAUAGCUGGUGCACAUCGGUCUCAGGUGUAAACAGAAGGAAGUCCAAGGAAGCCAAGUGGGAAGAUCCUUGCUGGUUUCUCCCUCUGAGGAAGAAGGAAAAUGCCAUGACUCCCAGUAUGGCCUCUCUUGGAACCAUAUUUUGAGGUACCCUACUUCCUUCUUGAGUGUCAGCAGAGCAACUGUGGGACUGCCAUGAGAUUUGGUCAUUUCUAGGAGAGCGAAUGCCUUUUGCCUCUUUGAUGAGAAAACUAGAUGAGACAUUGUUUAGAAAUUCUUGAGCUCAGACUUUGGCAUUAUGACAACGUGUGUUCAAAUAUGCCCCAGCCACUUGCGAGCUGGGACCUAAAGCCGUGAGCUUCUGGUUGUUUAUCUAUAACAAGCGGAUCCCAGUACCUACCUCAUAGGGCUGCUGCGAGGAUUAAAAUAAAAUGCAUCUAUCAGCCAGCUUGCAGUGUCUGCACUUAGCAGGUGCUCAGGUGCAAUACCUUGAUAGUUUUGAUAGUUUGUGAUGUUUAUUCUGUUCCUCAUUAGCAUGCAUAUGUGUCUGUAUCUUGUCAAUAUAAGUCAAUAUUUUAAAAUGUGUGAGUCAGGGUUUUAA